UNGCAAGGUUAAUGAUAGAGGUCUACUGC
RNAcentral lists this non-coding RNA (29 nucleotides) under Mus musculus (house mouse). Lineage: Eukaryota; Metazoa; Chordata; Mammalia; Rodentia; Muridae. The record is from RNAcentral.